This is a long non-coding RNA of Oncorhynchus tshawytscha (Chinook salmon), 921 nucleotides long. NCBI's taxonomy places the organism in Eukaryota, Metazoa, Chordata, Actinopteri, Salmoniformes, Salmonidae. The record is from Ensembl.
AAACUGACCUAUUUUGGAGUCAUCACUCCCUUUGGAGUUGCUCUCCAGUUCAUUGAUCUUGGCAUCCAGUUGUCUCUGUAGAACUAGACAGAACAAUAGUAAAAUGAUUUGCGGGCACCAGGCUUUUGGGAAAGGAAGAAGCUGGCUCAGUAGGUCUAAAAGACAAAUAAACAUCCUUCAUGAAGAACCAGUAAGAAAUAUGGAGAAGUAAGACUUACGAAACCAUUCUUUCCAACUGUGACCCUUGAUUGACAUCAAAAGGCUGGUGGUGGCUGGUCCCCUGCAAGAAGGUGAGGUGCCUGAGGUCCCUCCACUACCCUCUGGACAUCGAGGGGUCCCCGGCGUACACGGUUCGUGGCAUUCUGGAUUCGAGACGCCGGGUGGGCGGCCUACAGUACCUCGUGGACUGGGAGGGGUACGGUCCGGAGGAGAGAUGCUGGGUUCCGGUGGGGGACAUUUUGGACCCUUCUCUCCUGAGAGAUUUCCACCGCCUCCACCCGGCGCCUCGUCCUCCGGGUCGUCCUCGAGGCCGGUGGCGGCACGCUGCGGGAGCCGCACGUCGGGGGGGGGGUACUGUCACGACUUCCGCCGAAGUUGCCUCCCCUGCCUGUUCGGACGGUGCUCGGCGGUCGUCGUCACCGUCCUACUAGCCGCUACCGAUCCCUUUUUCGUUUGUCUGUUGGUUUUGUCUUAUUAGUUUCACCUGUGUGUAUUUUGGUUUAAUUAGCUUCCCUAUAUGUAGUAGUUUGACCUGCCCUUGUUGUGUGCGGGAUUGUUUUUUGUUACUCUGUUGGUUGUGGUUUCAUGUUUGUAUUCUCUGGACUGUUUGGCCCUGUGUUUGGGCUGGUCUGUUUUAUGUGCCCUGUAUGUUGGCGUGACCGUUUUUUGCCGGAGAAUAAAUUAGGAUUUACCGAACCCUGC